This 292-nucleotide ribosomal RNA is filed under the name uncultured prokaryote. RNAcentral's name for it is "partial 16S ribosomal RNA". It matches the Rfam family "Archaeal small subunit ribosomal RNA", at positions 474 to 771 of the family's 1478-position model. The record is from RNAcentral.
CACCGGCAGCUCGAGUGGUAGCUGUUUUUAUUGGGCCUAAAGCGUUCGUAGCCGGUUUAAUAAGUCUUUGGUGAAAGCUUGUAGCUUAACUAUAAGAAUUGCUGGAGAUACUAUUAGACUUGAAGUCGGGAGAGGUUAGAGGUACUACCGGGGUAGGGGUGAAAUCCUAUAAUCCUGGGAGGACCACCUGUGGCGAAGGCGUCUAACUGGAACGAUCUUGACGGUGAGUAACGAAAGCCAGGGGCGCGAACCGGAUUAGAUACCCGCGUAGUCCCUGAGCGGGCUGGCAAGG